AGUGACGCGCUGCUGUGGCGCGCCGGCGGACGUGACGCCACUGUCGCUGCGACGAUAAGGCCUGGCGUUAUUGCUUAGAGGCGGCUACCUGGAGCCGGAAGCGCGGCUGCAGCAGGGCGAGGCUCCAGGUGGGGUCGGUUCCGCAUCCAGCCUAGCGUGUCCACGAUGCGGCUGGGCUCCGGGACUUUCGCUACCUGUUGCGUAGCGAUCGAGGUGCUAGGGAUCGCGGUCUUCCUUCGGGGAUUCUUCCCGGCUCCCGUUCGUUCCUCUGCCAGAGCGGAACACGGAGCGGAGCCCCCAGCGCCCGAACCCUCGGCUGGAGUCAGUUCUAACUGGACCACGCUGCCACCACCUCUCUUCAGUAAAGUUGUUAUUGUUCUGAUAGAUGCCUUGAGAGAUGAUUUUGUGUUUGGGUCAAAGGGUGUGAAAUUUAUGCCCUACACAACUUACCUUGUGGAAAAAGGAGCAUCUCACAGUUUUGUGGCUGAAGCAAAGCCACCUACAGUUACUAUGCCUCGAAUCAAGGCAUUGAUGACGGGGAGCCUUCCUGGCUUUGUCGACGUCAUCAGGAAUCUCAAUUCUCCUGCACUGCUGGAAGACAGUGUGAUAAGACAAGCAAAAGCAGCUGGAAAAAGAAUAGUCUUUUAUGGAGAUGAAACCUGGGUUAAAUUAUUCCCAAAGCAUUUUGUGGAAUAUGAUGGAACAACCUCAUUUUUUGUGUCAGAUUACACAGAGGUGGAUAAUAAUGUCACGAGGCAUUUGGAUAAAGUAUUAAAAAGAGGAGAUUGGGACAUAUUAAUCCUCCACUACCUGGGGCUGGACCACAUUGGCCACAUUUCAGGGCCCAACAGCCCCCUGAUUGGGCAGAAGCUGAGCGAGAUGGACAGCGUGCUGAUGAAGAUCCACACCUCACUGCAGUCGAAGGAGAGAGAGACGCCUUUACCCAAUUUGCUGGUUCUUUGUGGUGACCAUGGCAUGUCUGAAACAGGAAGUCACGGGGCCUCCUCCACCGAGGAGGUGAAUACACCUCUGAUUUUAAUCAGUUCUGCGUUUGAAAGGAAACCCGGUGAUAUCCGACAUCCAAAGCACGUCCAACAGACGGAUGUGGCUGCGACACUGGCGAUAGCACUUGGCUUACCGAUUCCAAAAGACAGCGUCGGGAGCCUCCUAUUCCCAGUUGUGGAAGGAAGACCAAUGAGAGAGCAGUUGAGAUUUUUACAUUUGAAUACAGUGCAGCUUAGUAAACUGUUGCAAGAGAAUGUGCCGUCAUAUGAAAAAGAUCCUGGGUUUGAGCAGUUUAAAAUGUCAGAAAGAUUGCAUGGGAACUGGAUCAGACUGUACUUGGAGGAAAAGCAUUCAGAAGUCCUAUUCAACCUGGGCUCCAAGGUUCUCAGGCAGUACCUGGAUGCUCUGAAGACGCUGAGCUUGUCCCUGAGUGCACAAGUGGCCCAGUAUGACAUCUAUUCGAUGAUGGUGGGGACUGUCGUGGUUUUGGAGGUUCUCACCCUGCUCCUGCUCAGCGUCCCACAGGCACUGCGCAGAAAGGCUGAGCUGGAAGUCCCACUGUCAUCUCCUGGGUUUUCUCUGCUCUUUUAUUUGGUGAUCCUGGUUCUUUCGGCCGUUCACGUCAUUGUGUGCACCUCAGCUGAAAGUUCGUGCUACUUCUGUGGCCUCUCGUGGCUGGCGGCAGGUGGGGUGAUGGUGCUGGCCUCGGCGCUGCUGUGUGUGACUGUGUCUGUUCUGACCAACGUGCUCGUGGGUGGAAACACCCCAAGGAAGAACCCCGUGCAUCCCAGCUCAAGGUGGUCAGAGCUAGACCUUCUUAUUCUGUUGGGGACGGCGGGCCACGUCUUGAGCCUGGGCGCCAGCAGCUUCGUGGAGGAGGAGCACCAGACCUGGUACUUCCUCGUGAACACCCUGUGUCUAGCUCUGAGCCAAGAAACCUACAGAAACUACUUUCUGGGAGAUGACGGUGAGCCUCCGUGUGGCCUCUGUGUGGAACAAGGGCAUGACGGGGCCACAGCAGCGUGGCAGGACGGGCCUGGCUGUGAUGUCCUGGAGCGAGACAAAGGCCACGGAAGCCCCUCUACCUCCGAAGUGCUCAGAGGCCGCGAGAAGUGGAUGGUGCUGGCCAGUCCGUGGCUAAUACUGGCCUGCUGCCGGCUGCUGCGCUCCCUAAACCAGACAGGUGUGCAGUGGGCUCACCGGCCUGACCUCGGCCAUUGGCUCACCAGCUCUGACCACAAAGCGGAGCUCUCUGUCCUGGCUGCCCUCUCCCUCCUCAUAGUUUUUGUGCUGGUGCAGAGGGGGUGCUCCCCUGUGUCCAAGGCUGCCCUGGCGCUGGGGCUGCUGGGCGUCUACUGCUACCGGGCGGCCAUCGGGAGUGUCCGGUUCCCGUGGCGGCCGGACAGCAAGGACAUUUCCAAGGGUAUUAUUGAAGCUCGUUUUGUUUAUGUCUUUGUCCUUGGCAUUCUGUUCACGGGCACCAAAGACUUACUUAAAUCUCAAGUCAUUGCUGCAGACUUCAAACUCAAGACUGUAGGUUUAUGGGAGAUAUAUAGUGGAUUAGUUCUUCUGGCAGCCUUGCUCUUUAGACCACAUAAUCUUCCGGUCUUAGCAUUUAGCCUCUUGAUUCAGACUCUAAUGACUAAAUUCAUCUGGAAGCCCCUGAGACACGAUGCAGCAGAGAUUACUGUGAUGCAUUAUUGGUUUGGUCAAGCAUUCUUCUAUUUUCAGGUAGGUUUUCAUUAUUAUCAUGGGUAGUAGACUUCAUGUUUUACAUAUUUAUUUUAAAUUUUUCUUUGAGAAAAUGUUCCCAUAAGUUGGAAAGUGACUGUCAGUGUGGCAUGGUGAAUUAUGCUGAACUCUCGUGUAUUUUAUAAGACAAAGUACAGCCGAUUGUUUAAGACAGACGUCCCAGGUGUGGAUGUGUGGGUGCUUAAGACAGCAGACUGCUGCUUUGCUGGGCCAGGCCUGGGUUUAUUUAUUACAAGCAGUUCAGGAAGCACAGACAUCACGUUGUUCACUUGCUUCAUUGAUGAAUGUAAUAAUUGUUCUCGUUCAUGCCCUUUGCCCCUGGUGUCAGGGCUGUCCACACUGGGGACCAUUGGUGCCCCCAUGAUUAUUAGCUCCCUGAAGCCUGGUGGGUCGUCAGGGCUUCUGUCCGGUGUUUAAAGACCCAUCCCAGACAAGCCCAAACCACCUCAGUUUGAAGAGACAUAGAGGGACAGGCAGACGGGGCCUCAGAGGGAUCCAGCCUCAUCCAGCCUCCUGGCAACCUCAGGAGAGCAGGCACAGCCAUGCUGGUUCCCUUCCAGCCCCGACUCCCAGGCUGAGUCGCUUUGCACCAGCUGAACAUCGUGGUUGCAUUUUGGUCUCUACCGUGAGGUCUGUAUUUUCUUGGUGUGCACCGGUGUCUGCCUGUCCACUGUCUCGUACCCAGGAGGCAUGUGCAGUUCUUUGUGUCCCUACAGGGCCUCUCCUCCAUCGUCUUCUCCUUUCCUGGCGCUCCCAGCCUUUCCCAUGGAACAGCCCACAGUUGCAGGAUUUUCUGUCUGUAUGUCUGUCCCCCUGAUCCUGAAGCCCAAAGGUGGUAGGCGUGAAGUUACAGAAGUCUGUGUCUUCAGGUACAAUGAGUAGGUGGCCAGUGGCCAGCUUCUUAGCCCCGUCCUGGUGCUUCCCCGACCCUUCUCAUCCGCUCAGGCCCCUGUCCUCCUUGUACACAGCUGCAGCUCUCCCUGCCAUGUCCACACAAGGCACAAGGGUGUCCCCAGCAGAACUGCAGGCCUGGGAUGCUGGUAUCCAGCACGUUCAAGCCAGGCGGCCUCCGGCAGGCUCUUGCCACACCUUCGUUUCCUUAUCUGUAAACCAGGGAUAGUGGUCUCCCGGCCUCCCCAGGACCCAGCCCUCCCUGGUCUCCCCACCUCCCCGUGGCCCCUGUUUUGAGGCUGAGUCCGCUGCCCCUCAGUGUUAGAUCUCCUCGGAGAGGAACCUGUGGCUUUGCUGCCCAUCCCUGCUUCCUGCCCUCGACUGGGCAGUUCCUUAACAGAUCAGGGAUCAGGAACGUGACUGCCCUUGCUCAUCUGCUGGCCCUCCACAUUUGCCCAGUCCCUCGGUCUCUCUGCCUCCGUUUCCUCCCAGUUUGAUGAGGAUAAUCACGAAGCACAUCAGGACUGUUGGGUUAGAUGAAGUCAUGCAGGUAAAGCUGCUGUGCAGCUGCAGGCAUGUCAGCAUGGCUGGCAGUCUCUGUGCCUGGCUGAGCCUGCUCAGAGCCACAGUGACCUCCCAGGUGUCCUCCUCCCCUGCUCCCGUCGUGACAUCUGGGACUCUAUCCCCCUGCCGCCCUCCAGGGUCUCCUGCUGCUUCUGCCUGUUUGCUCUCUCCUCAGUCUCCCUGCAGAAGAGCUUCCAAGUGGAGGAGUCACAUGACUGGGGUGGCACCGUCAAGGAGAGGCAGUAGCCGCGAGUCCAGUGGGUCUCAGGGCAAGCCAAGUCAAAGGGCUGGGGCCUAAGACAACAGGGAUAGGAGUCAACGCACAUCUGUGAGAUGCUGGGGAAGCAGCAUCAACAUGACUUGGGGACCCCCUGGGCCCACAGCUCUCUGCAUGGAAAGGGAGGAAGGAGCCAAGCUGGGCAACUCCAACAACAUUGCCACCGUGGACAUCUCCGCAGGCUUCGUGGGCUUAGACACCUACGUGGAAAUCCCAGCCGUGCUCCUGACAGCGUUUGGGACGUACGCAGGGCCUGUGCUGUGGGCCAGCCACUUAGUGCACUUCCUGAGCUCAGAAACACGCAGCGGUUCAGCACUGAGUCAUGCUUGCUUCUGCUACGCACUGAUUUGUUCUAUUCCAGUUUCCACAUACAUCGUUUUGGUGACAUCUCUGCGUUAUCAUUUAUUUAUAUGGAGUGUAUUUUCUCCAAAACUUCUCUACGAGGGAAUGCAUCUGCUCAUUACAGCUGCUGUCUGUGUAUUCUUCACGGCAAUGGAUCAAACCAGACUCACACAGUCUUAGACUAAGCUGAACACUGGAAAAAUAAUACAUGCUUAAAGUCUGCUGUUAUUCUAAAAUGAAAGAUAUGAAUUCAACAAAGUUGAUGGAUAAGUUUAAUUUCUUUGACUGCUGUACCUGAAUUUAGACUAAGCAGUAAAUAGUUUAAUAAAAGAUCACUUUAAUAUACA
Molecule: RNA transcript, 5178 nt
Organism: Pan troglodytes (chimpanzee)
Lineage: Eukaryota; Metazoa; Chordata; Mammalia; Primates; Hominidae
Gene: PIGG
Gene name: phosphatidylinositol glycan anchor biosynthesis class G
Exons: 13
Source: RefSeq, a predicted model, not a curated record